This 496-nucleotide ribosomal RNA is filed under the name uncultured bacterium. Its description in RNAcentral is "partial 16S ribosomal RNA". It matches the Rfam family "Bacterial small subunit ribosomal RNA", at positions 28 to 506 of the family's 1533-position model. The record is from RNAcentral.
GAUGAACGCUGGCGGCGUGCCUAAUACAUGCAAGUCGAGCGAACGGACGAGAAGCUUGCUUCUCUGAUGUUAGUGGCGGACGGGUGAGUAACACGUGGAUAACCUACCUAUAAGACUGGGAUAACUUCGGGAAACCGGAGCUAAUACCGGAUAAUAUUUUGAACCGCAUGGUUCAAAAGUGAAAGACGGUCUUGCUGUCACUUAUAGAUGGAUCCGCGCUGCAUUAGCUAGUUGGUAAGGUAACGGCUUACCAAGGCAACGAUGCAUAGCCGACCUGAGAGGGUGAUCGGCCACACUGGAACUGAGACACGGUCCAGACUCCUACGGGAGGCAGCAGUAGGGAAUCUGCCGCAAUGGGCGAAAGCCUGACGGAGCAACGCCGCGUGAGUGAUGAAGGGCUUCGGAUCGUAAAACGCUGUUAUUAGGGAAGAACAUAUGUGUAAGUAACUGUGCACAUCUUGACGGGACCUAAUCAGAAAGCCACGGCUAACUACGU